Small nucleolar RNA from Dioscorea cayenensis subsp. rotundata (Guinea yam), 107 nucleotides. NCBI's taxonomy places the organism in Eukaryota, Viridiplantae, Streptophyta, Magnoliopsida, Dioscoreales, Dioscoreaceae. The record is from RefSeq and is a predicted model, not a curated record.
AACCCAUGUUGUGGACACUUCCGCAAGAGGUCAUUGAAUUGUUCCGAAGUCUUAAACAAAGUUUUAAGCUUCAUCUGAAUAAAUGAAGAUAUCUCAUUACUAAGCUU